This 68-nucleotide transfer RNA is filed under the name Mirocapritermes sp. 2 TB-2017. RNAcentral's name for it is "tRNA-Leu". It matches the Rfam family "tRNA". From Rfam's summary of the family: Transfer RNA (tRNA) molecules are approximately 80 nucleotides in length. The record is from RNAcentral. Lineage: Eukaryota; Metazoa; Arthropoda; Insecta; Blattodea; Termitidae.
UCUAACGUGGCAGAUAAGUGCGUUGGAUUUAAGCUCCAAAAAUAAAGUUUUUAAACCUUUCAUUAGAA